This 492-nucleotide ribosomal RNA is filed under the name uncultured bacterium. Its description in RNAcentral is "partial 16S ribosomal RNA". It matches the Rfam family "Bacterial small subunit ribosomal RNA", at positions 29 to 507 of the family's 1533-position model. The record is from RNAcentral.
AGUGAACGCUGGCGGUAGGCCUAACACAUGCAAGUCGAACGGCAGCACAGUAAGAGCUUGCUCUUACGGGUGGCGAGUGGCGGACGGGUGAGGAAUACAUCGGAAUCUACUUUUUCGUGGGGGAUAACGUAGGGAAACUUACGCUAAUACCGCAUACGACCUACGGGUGAAAGCAGGGGAUCUUCGGACCUUGCGCGAUUGAAUGAGCCGAUGUCGGAUUAGCUAGUUGGCGGGGUAAAGGCCCACCAAGGCGACGAUCCGUAGCUGGUCUGAGACGAUGAUCAGCCACACUGGAACUGAGACACGGUCCAGCUUCCUACGGGAGGCAGCAGUGGGGAAUAUUGGACAAUGGGCGCAAGCCUGAUCCAGCCAUACCGCGUGGGUGAAGAAGGCCUUCGGGUUGUAAAGACCUUUUGUUGGGAAAGAAAAGCAGCAGGUUAAUACCCCGCUGUUCUGACGGUACCCAAAGAAUAAGCACCGGCUAACUUCGUG